This 544-nucleotide unclassified non-coding RNA is filed under the name Hevea brasiliensis (rubber tree). The record is from RNAcentral. Lineage: Eukaryota; Viridiplantae; Streptophyta; Magnoliopsida; Malpighiales; Euphorbiaceae.
AACAGAAAUUCGUAAAAUCGAGUAAAUCACUGCAGAAAACUCGUCCCCUCAAGCGAACUUGACCUCGAUGACCUUCGUUUUCGUCGGCGACGGCACUGGCAGCCUCUCCAUAGAGAAAGAAAGCCCCGCCUCCUCCCACGCCGGCAGCUUCUCGACUGUGACAGUAAGCACUCCAUCCUUCCACACCGCCGAGACUGCCUUCGUAUUCGCAUUCUCCGGCAGCUCGAACUUCCGCAUCCUCUUCCCCGUCCAGCGCUCCAUCAUCUCGUACUUCUCCUCCUCCUCUCUCUUCCGCUCACCGCUGAUCACCAGCGCUCUGUCGUCCUCCACCUCAACCUUGAUGUCGUCAGAUUUGACGCCGGGGAUGUCGAUCAUGUAGAGGUAGGAGUUGAGGAGGUCCUUGAUGUCAGCAGGGUUGACGUCCUUGGGGACGCUGGCGACACCGAGCUGGACCAACAGUUUGUGGAACGCGGCGACGAAAGUGUCAAAUUCCUCUUUGGUGAGCUUCGGAUCCAUGGAUUUUGAUUUCUUGAGGUCAAUUUAU